AGCAGCCGCGGUAAUUCCAGCUCCAAUAGCGUAUAUUAAAGUUGUUGCAGUUAAAAGCUCGUAGUUGAAUUUCGGGGUUAGUAGGUUGGUCGUGCCACUGGUACGUACUGGUCUCACUGAUUCCUCCUUCCUGAUGAACUGUAAUGCCAUUAAUUUGGUGUUGCAGGGAAACUGGACUGUUACUUUGAAAAAAAUUAGAGUGUUUAAAGCAAGCUAACGCUUGAAUACAUUAGCAUGGAAUAAUGAAAUAGGACGUUCGAUCCUAUUUUGUUGGUUUCUAGGAUUGACGUAAUGAUUAAUAGGGAUAGUUGGGGGCAUUAGUAUUCAAUUGUCAGAGGUGAAAUUCUUGGAUUUAUUGAAGACUAACUACUGCGAAAGCAUUUUGCCAAGGAUGUUUUCAUUAAUCAAGAACGAAAGUUAGGGGAUCGAAGACGAUCAGAUACCGUCGUAGUCUUAACCAUAAACUAUGCCGACUAGGGAUCGGAUGAUGUUAAUUUUUUAAUGACUCAUUCGGCGCCUU
Molecule: ribosomal RNA, 520 nt
Filed under: uncultured Glomus
Lineage: Eukaryota; Fungi; Glomeromycota; Glomeromycetes; Glomerales; Glomeraceae
Description: SSU rRNA
Rfam family: Eukaryotic small subunit ribosomal RNA
Source: RNAcentral